UCAGACGAUGCGUCAUGCAUAUCAAUAAGCGGAGGAAAAGAAACUAACAUAGGAUUCCCUCAGUAACGGCGAGUGAAGCGGGAAGAGCUCAAAUUUGAAAUCUUCAAGGUUUUACCUUGACGAAUUGUAGUUUAAAGAAGUGUUUUCUGUUGGAGUUUUGGUAAAAGUUCUUUGGAAUAGGACAUCAUAGAGGGUGAGAAUCCCGUAUUCGACCAUUAUUUUCAGCUGUGUGAUACACUUUCAAAGAGUCGGAUUGUUUGGGAAUGCAGUCCAAAAUGGGUGGUAAAUUUCAUCUAAAGCUAAAUAUUGGCGAGAGACCGAUAGCUAACAAGUACCGUGAGGGAAAGAUGAAAAGAACUUUGAAAAGAGAGUUAAACAGUACGUGAAAUUGUCAAAAGGGAAGCGUUUGACACCAGUGUUGUUUUCUCGAAAAUCAAUUAAAAAGAGUUGGAUUUUGUGUUGUAUUGACUUUAUCAGCUUUCUGCACUUUUUUCUUGUCUUUUUUAAUGCACUUUUCGUUUAACAAGUCAACAUCAAUUUCUUUUGCUGUAAAAGGGUCAUAGGAAGGUGGCUUCAUUUCGGUAGAAAGUGUUUAUAGCCUUUGGCCUCUGCAAUCGGAGAGAUUGAGGUCUGCAGCGUAGAUCCUUCGGGGUUAGAUACAUUCGUGCUAAGUUAUAGCCUUUUCAUAGACAACUUGUUGACUAUGAUUCGUCUUGUAAUUUACUCGCUAGUGCUAUUUUACCUACGCUUAGGAUGUUGAUAUGCAUGACUGAUAU
RNAcentral lists this ribosomal RNA (776 nucleotides) under uncultured Neocallimastigales. Its description in RNAcentral is "partial large subunit ribosomal RNA". It matches the Rfam family "Eukaryotic large subunit ribosomal RNA", at positions 18 to 635 of the family's 3401-position model. Lineage: Eukaryota; Fungi; Neocallimastigomycota; Neocallimastigomycetes; Neocallimastigales. The record is from RNAcentral.